This 252-nucleotide ribosomal RNA is filed under the name uncultured bacterium. RNAcentral's name for it is "partial 16S ribosomal RNA". It matches the Rfam family "Bacterial small subunit ribosomal RNA", at positions 524 to 776 of the family's 1533-position model. The record is from RNAcentral.
UACGAAGGGGGCUAGCGUUAAUCGGAAUUACUGGGCGUAAAGUGUGCGCAGGCCGCCGAGCAUGUCGAGUGUGAAAGCCCCGAGCUUAACUUGGGAACUGCGCUCGAAACUACUUGGCUAGAGUGUGGCAGAGGGAGUGGAAUUCCACGUGUAGCGGUGAAAUGCGUAGAGAUGUGGAGGAACACCGAUGGCGAAGGCAGCACUCUGGGCCGGCACUGACGCUGAGGAGCGAAAGCGUGGGGAGCGAACAGG